RNAcentral lists this ribosomal RNA (478 nucleotides) under uncultured bacterium. RNAcentral describes it as "partial 16S ribosomal RNA". It matches the Rfam family "Bacterial small subunit ribosomal RNA", at positions 28 to 523 of the family's 1533-position model. The record is from RNAcentral.
GACGAACGCUGGCGGCGUGCUUAACACAUGCAAGUCGAACGGUAAGGCCCUUCGGGGUACACGAGUGGCGAACGGGUGAGUAACACGUGGGUGAUCUGCCCUGCACUUCGGGAUAAGCCUGGGAAACUGGGUCUAAUACCGGAUAGGACCACUGCCUGCAUGGGUGGUGGUGGAAAGCUUUUGCGGUGUGGGAUGGGCCCGCGGCCUAUCAGCUUGGUGGUGGGGUGAUGGCCUACCAAGGCGACGACGGGUGGCCGGCCUGAGAGGGUGACCGGCCACACUGGGACUGAGGUACGGCCCAGACUCCUACGGGAGGCAGCAGUGGGGAAUAUUGCACAAUGGGCGCAAGCCUGAUGCAGCGACGCCGCGUGAGGGAUGACGGCCUUCGGGUUGUAAACCUCUUUCAGCACCGACGAAGCGCAAGUGACGGUAGGUGCAGAAGAAGGACCGGCCAACUACGUGCCAGCAGCCGCCGUAA